Molecule: long non-coding RNA, 2384 nt
Filed under: Homo sapiens (human)
Lineage: Eukaryota; Metazoa; Chordata; Mammalia; Primates; Hominidae
Description: HSALNT0337912
Source: RNAcentral
UGGAGAUAAAACUCCUGCUGACUUUACCAGUAUGAUCCUGAAAACAAAGCACCCUCAAAGCAAUGGCCAUCAAACUCCAAUGGUCAUGCAACUGGAGACUCUGACAAUGGCCUCUUCUGCUGGGAACCCUUAGAUAGACCUCUGAGGGAGCUCUGGCUGCCGUUUCUCCACUGUCAGCAAGAAGCACUCUUCUUGGAUCCACUGAUCUACUUUCUAUCACUACAGAUGAGUCGGCUUUUUCUAGAAGUUUACAUAUGUAUGUAAUCAAUGCCUCAGGUAGCUUCCUCGUAUACCUGUGCUGAACAGUGCUGUCCUGAACACUCGUGAGGGCUCUUCUGCAGGUCUAGGGAGCUGUUUCUCCAUGCAGCUCUCUCCUCUCCUAUCCGCUGCCCUGGGAACUCUAGUCUGGUCUCCACGGACUCUCCACAAAAAUCUCCAUCCCUUCCACUUGUGCUCUCCGUUCCUGCCCUGUGGUCUGGAAACUCUCAAAGCAAUAAACGAGAGCACUCAAAGGACACACCUCAUUUGCUUCUCAUUUCUAAGAGCUCACAUUCCUUCAUUGCCUGAUGUGCAGUGUCUUGAAACCUGUUUCAUAUAUUUUAUCAAGUUUUUUUUUAGUUGUUUUUCAGGUGGGAGAGUAAAUUGGUCCCUAUCACUCUAUCUCAGAAGCCGAAGUCUCCAUAGUUUACUUAAAAGUGUGUAAACUUCCAAGUAUAUGGAAUUGUCCAGAUACCUUUCUAUUAUUGGUUCCUAGUUUAAUUACCUUUUGGUCUCUGAACACCUUCUGUGGUUUCCUUUAUUUUAAAUUGCUAAGGUUUAAAAGUUUGUUUUGUGGCCCACUUUAUGGAAUAUUGUCUAUCUUGGUGAACUUUCCAUGUACAUUGCAAAGAAUGUAUAUUCUGCUGUUGUUGGCUGGACUGUUCUGUAAAUCUCAGCGUAUUAGUCAGGGUUAUCCAGAGAAACAGAACCAAUAGGAGAUAUUUAUAUACAUAGUUGGAUCACAUAACUGUGGGGCUGACAUGUCUGAAAUUCACAGGGCAGGCUGCAGGCUGGAAGUUCUGGCAAGAGCUGAUAUUGUAGUUUGGGAGGCACAAUUCCUACCAGUUCCAGGGGCUUUCAACUAAUUGGAUAGGGCCCAUCUACAUUACGGAAGAUAAUUUGCUUUACCCAAAGUCUACUGGCUUAAAUGUUAAUCAAUCUAAGAUCUACCUUCAUAGCAAUAUCUACACUGGUAUUUGACCAACAUCUGGGUGUCAUCACCUAGCCGAAUAGACACAUAAAAUUAACCAUCACUGUUAGCGGUGGAAGACAUCCAAGUUAUCCAAAGUUACCUGUGGUGCAUCUGUGUGAGUUGGCAGCAACUCCAGUCCUUGCCUCCUCAGAAGAAAGAAUUUGACUGAGGGGCAUAAAGCAGAAGAAGAGACUGCCGCAAGUUUCAGGGCAGGAAUGAAAAUUUAUUAAAAGGCUUUAGAACAGUAAGGAAAGAAAAGAAGGAAAGUACAACUUGAAAGUACAAGAGGUCAAGCUGUGCACUUGGUUUCUCAAGGGCCAGGCAGGCAACUUGAGAAGUCAAGUGCAUAGCCUGACCUCUUGACUUGGGGUUCUAUAGGUUGGCAUAACUCCGGGAUCUUAUUGGGAAGCUGCUGAUCAGUUUCGAGUGUUUUCUACCUAUUAGGAGACUGCCUUUCUGUGGUGCCAGCCAUGACCAAUUAUUACUUUAGAGAAACGGUUAACAACCGCCUGACCAUCACCUGAUGGUUGCCCAACACUCCUGGUGUGUGUGUUGUGGGGAGCCCUCUCCUGCCUUGCUCCAGGCUACCUACUGUAACAUCACAGUCAGGUCCAGUUGGCCUAUGAUGUUCAUGACUGCUAAAUGCUUGCUAAUUUUGUCUUUUUGUCCUACCAAUUACUGAUAGAGAAGAGUCUCCAAAUAUAAUUGUGCUUUGAAUAUUUCUUCUUCAGCUUUAUUAAUUUUACCUCAUGUUUUUUGAACUUCUGUUUUAGGGACGUACACUGAGGACAUUUAUGGUUUUUGGUGAACUUACUCUUUCAUCAUUUUAUAAUGCUCCUCCCUCGUAAUUUUCCUUAUUCUGAAAUUUACUUUGAUCUUAAAAUUACGGUAGCAGUUUUCUUAUAAUUUGUGUUUGUAUCGUGUAUCUUUUUACAUCCUUUUAUUUUUAACCUAUUCAAAUCAUUGUAUUUAAAGUGAUUGUAUUGGAGAUAGCAUAUAAUUGAUUUUUGCCCCAAUCUGAUAAUUCCUGUAUUUUAAUAGGAGUUAUUUUUGAUGUAGUUAGAUUUAUGCCUACCAUUUUAUUGUUGGUUUUAUGUUUGUCUGCUCUGUUUUUUUGCUUUGUUUUGACUUUCUGUUGAAUUAUUGAAUAUAU